CUCCUGCUAGAUCAGCGAAUGCCCCUUUCCGAUGCAUUGAAAAUGUUCGUUUUAGAGGCCGUCGUGUGUUUGGAUUUGACUUUUGAAAAUAAUUGCAGAAAGGCUUUCAAGCUGUUUCUGAAACGCUGCUUUCUUCCAAAGAGAGGGAAAAGCAUCCCCUCGGCCGGGCGAUGCGCCGUGUCUGCGCUGCGAACUCGGAGGGGAUUUGUAAGAGGCGCCUGGCGUCCUCUCCUUCAUCAGAUGUCAUCCACAAAUCAAGAUUGAUGAAAAGUUCAUGUGAAGAAAUAACUUCACCUAGCCAGGAAGUGAAAACAAGAGUGGAUUGAAAGAUGUGUGGUCAGUGUGUUUCCUCAUUCAGGACCAUGCAAGCUGUGUAUUCCUUUGAAAUUGUUCAUAUCAACGUUCUUCAUUUGCUUCUAAGGGAUAAAACAUUCAAGGUUUAAAAACAGCCACUUGAAAUUCGGGAGAGCAUCCAGAUGAAUCAAGGAGUCCUGGAAAUGUUCUAGAUAUUGCAAAGAGGGAACCGAAAAAGGGAAAAAACAACCAAGUUUGAAAAGGACAGAUCUUCAUGUUGCAAAUUGACAUAUUUUAUCAGUUGGUCUCCUGGUUCACAUGAAUACUUCUUUUCUUACUGUCUUUGUAGGGGUCUAGUUUUAAAUCAGCCACAGGAAGUUUAUGAUGUUUACCUUGAGAGGAGUCUGCACUGUACUUUUAUGGAAUUCUUCGGUCAUUCAUACCGUUUUGUUUUUCCCUUUCACAUGAAUAGGACUGUCAUAAAUAAAACGUAAAAUAUU
This is a long non-coding RNA of Lepisosteus oculatus (spotted gar), 794 nucleotides long. RefSeq lists it as uncharacterized. The record is from RefSeq and is a predicted model, not a curated record. Lineage: Eukaryota; Metazoa; Chordata; Actinopteri; Semionotiformes; Lepisosteidae.